This 427-nucleotide ribosomal RNA is filed under the name uncultured bacterium. RNAcentral describes it as "bacterial SSU rRNA". It matches the Rfam family "Bacterial small subunit ribosomal RNA", at positions 355 to 774 of the family's 1533-position model. The record is from RNAcentral.
UGGGGAAUUUUGGACAAUGGGCGCAAGCCUGAUCCAGCCAUGCCGCGUGCAGGAUGAAGGCCUUCGGGUUGUAAACUGCUUUUGUACGGAACGAAAAGGUGCCUUCUAAUAAAGGGCGCUCAUGACGUUACCGUAAGAAUAAGCACCGGCUAACUACGUGCCAGCAGCCGCGGUAAUACGUAGGGUGCGAGCGUUAAUCGGAAUUACUGGGCGUAAAGCGUGCGCAGGCGGUUUUGUAAGACAGAUGUGAAAUCCCCGGGCUUAACCGGGGAACUGCGUUUGUGACUGCAAGGCUGGAGUACGGCAGAGGGGGGUGGAAUUCCACGUGUAGCAGUGAAAUGCGUAGAGAUGUGGAGGAACACCGAUGGCGAAGGCAGCCCCCUGGGCCUGUACUGACGCUCAUGCACGAAAGCGUGGGGAGCAAACA